AUUGGCAGCCUGCCAAGAUUCUGAGCAGUUAGCCCCUCCCAACUGAUUGACCAAACCUACUCCCAACUGGUUUCAAACUUCCCUGCGGGCUACAACUGACAACCUGGACAUAAAUAGAUGAGGUCUGACAAAAAGGCAUCAAUAAAUUUGGACAAUGCAGUAGUACCUAGGAAAGAAGACAAAAGUAGAAUGACUUGGGCAAUCAGAACAUUGCAGCAGGAAUCCAAAAAAACUGUUAGAGCCAGGAUCUGUUGUUGUUAGACGUUCAAGCAAGUCUUGAUGUCCAAGUGAGACUGAAUACUGCCAGGAUCUAGAUACAGGAAUUCUUCCUCAGUUCAACAGGAAAAUCCUCUUCAUACCUUCCUCUCAACUUCCUCAGGAGACCAGAAGAAAGUCAGCUGGACAAGAUGGAAUCUUCCCAGAUCCUGUAGCUCAGGCUCCCAUGGUCACACACCACUGUCAAUCAUACCUAGGUUUGCAUUUUUUCAGUUUUUGCACAGUUUCGCAAAUUGCAAACCUUUCCAUCCUUUUUAUCACAGUACCAUGAUUUUUCUAGAUUCCUUUGGUCAUGCCUCUAC
RNAcentral lists this long non-coding RNA (578 nucleotides) under Monodelphis domestica (gray short-tailed opossum). RNAcentral's name for it is "lncRNA (ENSMODG00000032693.2)". The record is from RNAcentral. Lineage: Eukaryota; Metazoa; Chordata; Mammalia; Didelphimorphia; Didelphidae.